RNAcentral lists this long non-coding RNA (199 nucleotides) under Manihot esculenta (cassava). RNAcentral's name for it is "long non-coding RNA (MESC_LNC000724)". The record is from RNAcentral. Lineage: Eukaryota; Viridiplantae; Streptophyta; Magnoliopsida; Malpighiales; Euphorbiaceae.
CCUAUUGUGCUUACCCUUCUAUGACCUCUAAGCCAACCUCUUUCCGAUGUGCAACACACCGUACUCUCGAGGCCCAAGGCUCUGAUACCAUUCUGUAACGACCCGGAAACCGAUACCCCUCUGUAACGGCCCGAACCGCCACCGGCGCUAGGAUCCAGAUCGGCUUAAGGCCGCCGGGACCCGUAGCAAGCCAAACAUN